RNAcentral lists this non-coding RNA (29 nucleotides) under Mus musculus (house mouse). The record is from RNAcentral. Lineage: Eukaryota; Metazoa; Chordata; Mammalia; Rodentia; Muridae.
UAAGCUUUUGUGAUGAAUCCUGAGAUCCC